This 301-nucleotide ribosomal RNA is filed under the name uncultured bacterium. RNAcentral describes it as "partial 16S ribosomal RNA". It matches the Rfam family "Bacterial small subunit ribosomal RNA", at positions 509 to 807 of the family's 1533-position model. The record is from RNAcentral.
CAGUCGCCACGGGAAUACGGAGGGUGCAAGCGUUAAUCGGAAUUACUGGGCGUAAAGCGCACGCAGGCGGUCUGACAAGUCAGAUGUGAAAUCCCCGGGCUUAACCUGGGAACUGCAUUUGAAACUGUCAGGCUGGAGUCUUGUAGAGGGGGGUGGAAUUCCAGGUGUAGCGGUGAAAUGCGUAGAGAUCUGGAGGAAUACCGGUGGCGAAGGCGGCCCCCUGGACAAAGACUGACGCUCAGGUGCGAAAGCGUGGGGAGCAAACAGGAUUAGAGACCCCUGUAGUCCCUGUCUCUUAUAC